CCAAUGUUUAACAACAUACAUGAGAUAUGGGAGGUAAACAAAUCGUAAGCAAAUCGUGCCAAUGCUUAUGGAUUUUUCCGAAACAGAAGAAAACAGAGCAAGAAAGAUACCUUAUCGGACUCUCCAAACUAACCCGGAUCGGUGAGCUGAAGUGUUUCUCUUUACCUCCAAAACUUUGAGAUUGAAAUACAUACAAACUGCGUCAGCAUCUUGCUGUGUCAACUAUCAAAGUUUUGGUUAGCAUAAAAGAAACUAAUCUUAGCUACUGACACACUGGUCAUCGGUCGACGAGGUUAUGAGGUGCUAAAGAGUCCACUGGAAUUCAAGUUAGCUCAAGAUAAAUGUAUCAGAAGCUUGAUGGCCAAACAUCCGCGUUUCAUUGAGUUCAAAAGUUGUAAAGCAGCAGUUAACUGUGGGGUGAUGCACUGAUCCACUCUUGCAUUUGAACUUUGGAUGUCUAGUUGUGCACAUCCUCCAAUCCUAAUUAAUUUCUAUUUUUCUAAACUGACGGGAGUUUUAUGUGGCUACUGUUUGAUCCAAAAUUCAGACCUGAAUUAGUUGUCAUGAUUUUGUUGUUCAGUUAAUAUGAAAACAAAAUGCAAAGUGUGCAGAUUGAAAGAGUGAAUUGUUAAGUGAAAAGAAUUUUGCUUUUAGCAGCCUGUGGAGAAGAACAGAGACUAUUGAAAUUGACAAUUGCUCUCUGCUUUUUCUGAAUGAAACUGACAAUUGCUCUCUGUUCUGCUCUUUUUUGCAGAUACUUGCGCUUGUCCAUGUAUCAUCUUACGUUCAUUCAAAAAUUGACGAGCCCUUAAAAAAGAGACUACUGACGAGCACUGUGUGGGCGUUGCUUGGGUAGUAAAUUUUUGGAGCUGCAGUUUCUCAACAGUAAUUGAUCGAAGUUGUCGAACGUAAACGAUAGAAAUUAUUUCUUCAGAUUCCUCAAUAAAGAUUUGUUCUGAACUUUCAGGCCCCUUCCUUUUGAACCAGAAUUCAGACAUAGGUUCAUGGUUGUUCUUCUUCUCUGCUAAACUAGAAUUCA
This 1039-nucleotide long non-coding RNA is filed under the name Setaria italica (foxtail millet). Its description in RNAcentral is "long non-coding RNA (SITA_LNC006256)". The record is from RNAcentral. Lineage: Eukaryota; Viridiplantae; Streptophyta; Magnoliopsida; Poales; Poaceae.